AAGUUCGGUUUGCUAAGCCUCCUGAGAAGGGAUGAACUUGAUAUUGUUUUAGCCUUUGAUCAGAUUAUGCCGGUAAAGGUUUUCUGGUUUACCCUAUAGGGCUUGUAGCUCAGUUGGUUAGAGCGCGCGCUUGAUAAGCGUGAGGUCGGAGGUUCAAGUCCUCCCAGGCCCACCAGUUACACGAUGCUAAAAGUUGCUAUAUUGGGAGAGUUGAUAAUCCCUUACAGGAAAUUAUUGCCCUUAAUAAAACUUUAUUUUCUAAAAGCAUUCAGAGCUGACAUAGAAUAGAGCUGACAUAGAAUUGAGAAUCUGACAUAGGAAUUAUUGAAAUUGUAAAUUUGGAAUUAUUGAAAUUGUUUUCUAAGUCAUUUUAAAAGGCUAAAAUAUUCUGUCUCUAUUUUUAAAUGCUCAUAGACAUCAGGUGUUUUGUAAGAGUGUG
RNAcentral lists this unclassified non-coding RNA (439 nucleotides) under Bartonella clarridgeiae. RNAcentral's name for it is "partial 16S-23S ribosomal RNA intergenic spacer". The stretch from base 99 to 172 matches the Rfam family "tRNA". Lineage: Bacteria; Pseudomonadati; Pseudomonadota; Alphaproteobacteria; Hyphomicrobiales; Bartonellaceae. The record is from RNAcentral.